AAUAGGAUAAAAUUUUAGAGCUGGAGGCCAUCUGCAGAAAAAAAAGGUCAUCGAAUCAAAACCCCUUUGGUAAAAAAAUGUUUUUUUCAAUGCCUCCAGUCCCAAGCAGAGAAAGGAACAGAAGAUACUCUUCAGAAACGGUAGAGAGGCAACGUACUUAUUAAUGCUUAAGAUUUUUCCUUUUUUUUUUAAAGGUAGAAAUGGAAAGGAAAUAAAGUGAAAAGAUUACAGGAGGAGAAUCUACAAAAUUGCCUGAGGAUAAGAACAAAAGGAAGAAAAGAGAUAGGGAUGACACCAAGGUUUCUGAUCAAGGGAUAACUCAGAUGAAGUAUGAAGAAAAGAGAAAUAGAUAUGGAUGGAAGAUAGUAUUUUGGGUUUACAAAAUACAAUGUUUGGGAUACAGGAGAGCCUCCCAUUUCCCAGUCAUGUAACAAGCAGAUAGAAAUGCACGUCUGGAACUCCAGAGACAAGCGAGGAAAUUUAUUUUGAAGGUUAUCUAUGUAGAAAUUAUUGUUUCUAUGAGAAGUGGAUAGACAUAUGGCAGGAGACAGUACAGAUAGCCACCUGAAAGGGGAUAUAGAUAAAAUGAAAAUAAAAGAGUUUAGAAUGGAGAUGGAGACAUAGAUGCCAAACAUCAAAUGGAGACAGAGUUCCAUGUUGAUGAAGAAAGUGAAUGUCAAAGAAGUAACUGACAAAGAACAACUUCCAUCCAUGGCAUAUUUCCAAUGGAAGAUGCUUCCAAUAUUUUAUUCCUCUAGAAAAACAUAGUUGCCUCUUUUCUUCCCCCUCCCCGAGAAAAGCAAAAAUGGUUACCUGGCCAGUAAGUAGAUUUAGAAUAUUUAAGAUACAUCCAACAAACUACUCUUAUUUCUAGCUAGCCAAAUAAUCUUGAUAGAUCUUUUUAAAAUAAGACAUAAAUCAAUGUAUCUACAAAAUCAUAAUGAGCUAUUUCAACCAGAGAAGUCUGAAUUGGUUUUUCUCUCAAAAUUCUCUAAUAAUAUUUCAGUUAAGUUACUACUACAAGUAGUUGGAAUGUGUUUUCACAGGGAGGCCAGGAUCUACUUGUGUAGUAAGAAAUCAUUAGAGCAUACUCAAAAUGUCCCUUUAGAUGGGAUGGGCCAGGAGGAAGGAAGACGGAGAAAAUUUUUAUUUUAAACAUUGAAAACAUAUGUCUUGUUGACCUAUAAGCAGACACUGGAUCAGCAUUUGAUGUGUCUAGUCUAAUUUCUCCCUGUAAAAUUGUACUGGUGAAUCUUAGGGAGACAGAAGGCAGUAAAUUCCUUGCCUCCAUCAAUACAUUUGACCUCAGAGCAAACCCCACAACUGGCUACAGGCACCCACCAUCCAUCAUUGCUCUUGAAACCUGAUACUUCAGGGAAGGACAGCUGCACUGGGCAAAAGUCUAAGCAGCUUUCUAAGAUGCACUACCAUUAAAGAAAAAAAAAAAAAGGCACUUAUUCUGCUUCAGUAUUUUAAUUAACUGCUUUUCUAAACAUUUCUUCCCCCAAACUGAAACUCCAAAUCAAAUAUCCCCAGGAAUAUAUUAAUAAAAUUUAGACUUUAGAGAGAAACGCUCUCUUUGUGCAUUCUAGGUAAAAUUAUUUCUAGCUUUUGCUUUAAAUGCUUUCUAAGAUAAACAACAUACCGUGCCAUGCUAAUAUGUACAGACUUUAAUAAAUGUGCUAAGCAGAAAAAGAGAGUUCUAGCAACUACACUAAUUAUAGCAGUACACACAGAGUGCCAACAGGAAAAACGUACACAAAACAUCCGUAUCCAACAGAUCUUAAUUUUUAAGUCAAGUGGCAAUCACUUUUAACAAAUAGCUGAAGACAACAGAACUCUAUCAUAGGAACUAGUGUUCUUGAAUAUGGUAUGUUCAUUACGUGACUUCUACAUUCGAGAAUUAUGUAAAUUUAAAAUACAAAAUAAGAUAAAUUUGUAUGAUCAAACUGGAUAUUC
This 1959-nucleotide long non-coding RNA is filed under the name Homo sapiens (human). Its description in RNAcentral is "non-protein coding lnc-KDM4C-17:1". The record is from RNAcentral. Lineage: Eukaryota; Metazoa; Chordata; Mammalia; Primates; Hominidae.